Pogona vitticeps (central bearded dragon) is the source of this 412-nucleotide non-coding RNA. NCBI's taxonomy places the organism in Eukaryota, Metazoa, Chordata, Lepidosauria, Squamata, Agamidae. The record is from RefSeq and is a predicted model, not a curated record.
UCUUUACCUGGGCAUUGGACAAGACAACCUUUUUCUAUUGUAAAGAGCAAGUUCUUGCAGCCCAGACCACAAUUCAACUAAAGAAGUGAUGGAUUUUAGACACAUUUUAGCAUAUUGCCAAGUUCAGUAAGAUGCGACAAAAAGUGGAAGGACAAGUUCAUAGAGGACUACCUGGUGGGGACUUGAGAGAAGGCCUUCUUGGUGGCUGUGCCCAGACUCUGGAACUUCUUGCCAAGAGCUGGUAGAUUUGCCCCCUCCCUGUUAACCUUCUGGCAGCAGAAUAGUGCCUUACACUACCUGAGAGGUGUAAAAGAAGAAAUUGGAGGAUGUGAAAUCUGCUUUCCCUCUCAUCAUAGCCAGAAAGAAAGAAAGAAAGAAAGAAAGAAAGAAAGAAAGAAAGAAAGAAAGAAAG